AACGAACGCUGGCGGCAGGCCUAACACAUGCAAGUCGAACGCCCCGCAAGGGGAGUGGCAGACGGGUGAGUAACACGUGGGAAUCUUCCUCGUAGUACGGAACAACUCAGGGAAACUUGAGCUAAUACCGUAUACGCCCUUCGGGGGAAAGAUUUAUCGCUAUGAGAUGAGCCCGCGUCCGAUUAGCUAGUUGGUGAGGUAAUGGCUCACCAAGGCUACGAUCGGUAGCUGGUCUGAGAGGAUGAUCAGCCACAUUGGGACUGAGACACGGCCCAAACUCCUACGGGAGGCAGCAGUGGGGAAUAUUGGACAAUGGGCGCAAGCCUGAUCCAGCCAUGCCGCGUGAGUGACGAAGGCCUUAGGGUUGUAAAGCUCUUUUGGCGGGGAAGAUAAUGACGGUACCCGCAGAAUAAGCUCCGGCUAACUUCGUGCCAGCAGCCGCCGCAG
RNAcentral lists this ribosomal RNA (447 nucleotides) under uncultured bacterium. RNAcentral describes it as "partial 16S ribosomal RNA". It matches the Rfam family "Bacterial small subunit ribosomal RNA", at positions 29 to 523 of the family's 1533-position model. The record is from RNAcentral.